This is an RNA transcript of Phycodurus eques (leafy seadragon), 4008 nucleotides long. It is a transcript of the gene named glutamate receptor 3, with no coding region annotated. The transcript is spliced from 14 exons. Lineage: Eukaryota; Metazoa; Chordata; Actinopteri; Syngnathiformes; Syngnathidae. The record is from RefSeq and is a predicted model, not a curated record.
AAUGAACCUUAUUGGUGCACUGUGAGCGAUCAUCAUCUCUCCACUGGAUUCCCAUCGUCAACCUCCCGAACAUAUGCAUUUGCCCACCUUCUUCCCAAGGAGUUGAACAGAGAGGUUGUAGGUGGGGGGGGAAAAUGGCACAAAGCUCGCUGCUGUUGCUACUGUGGCUCUUCGACACAUCAUUCGCGGGAUUUCCUAAUCAGAUUAAUAUCGGGGGUCUCUUCAUGCGCUCCACCGUGCAGGAGCACAGCGCCUUCAGGUUCGCGGUGCAACUCUACAACACCAACCAAAAUACCACCGAGAAGCCUUUCCACCUCAACUACAACGUGGACAACCUGGAGUCCUCCAACAGUUUCUCGGUCACCCACGCGUUUUGCUCCCAGUUCUCCCGCGGAGUGUAUGCCAUCUUCGGAUUCUACGACAAGAAGUCCAUGAACACCUUGACGUCAUUCUGCGGAGCUCUUCAUACCUCCUUCGUCACACCCAGUUACCCCACCGACAACGAGGUGCAGUUCGUCAUCCAGAUGCGUCCUGCGCUCCGAGGGGCAGUCCUAAGUCUGAUCUCUCACUACAAGUGGCAGAAGUUUGUCUACCUCUACGACACAGACCGAGGCUUCUCCAUACUGCAGGCAAUCAUGGAGGCGGCGGUGGCCAACAACUGGCAGGUGACCGCUCGCUCCGUCAGCAGCACCACAGAUGCAGCAGAGUUCAAACGCAUCAUUGAAGAGAUGGACAGGAGGCAGGAAAAGCGCUUUGUGAUUGACUGUGAGGUGGACAGGAUCAACACCAUAUUAGAGCAGGUUGUGGCCCUGGGGAAGAACAGUCGUGGCUACCACUAUAUUCUGUCCAAUCUUGGAUUUUCUAAUGUGAGUUUGGACAAAGUGUUUGCUGGAGGAGCCAACAUUUCAGGCUUUCAAAUAGUCAACCCUGAGAACCCCAUUGUGCAGCAGUUUAUGCAGCGCUGGGAGCGGCUAGAUGAAAGAGAAUUCCCAGAAGCCCGGAAUGCUCCUCUGAAGUACACUUCAGCACUGACACAUGAUGCCAUCCUGGUGAUAGCAGAGGCCUUCCGGUACCUGCGGCGCCAACGUGUGGACGUCUCUCGUCGUGGCAGUGCCGGAGACUGUCUUGCCAAUCCCGCUGUACCUUGGAGCCAAGGCAUCGAUAUCGAGAGAGCUCUCAAAACGGUCCAAGUGCAGGGGAUGACUGGCAACAUCCAGUUUGACAACUAUGGCCGUCGGACCAACUACACCAUAGAUGUGUAUGAGAUGAAAAUAGGUGGGCCAAGGAAGAUCGGGUACUGGAACGAGUUCACACGCUUUGUAAAUAUAAUGGACCCGCAGGUCACCAACGACUCCUCAGUGGAAAACCGAACGAUUGUGGUCACUACUAUUAUGGAAGCUCCUUAUGUGAUGUACAAGAAAAAUUAUAUGCAUCUGGAGGGGAAUGACAGAUAUGAAGGCUACUGCGUCGAUUUAGCAUCUGAGAUUGCCAAACAUGUUGGAAUUAAGUACAAACUGUCUAUAGUAAUGGAUGGGAAGUAUGGAGCCCGAGACCCCGAGACCAAGGCAUGGAACGGGAUGGUGGGUGAACUGGUCUAUGGGAGAGCAGAUAUAGCUGUUGCACCUCUCACCAUUACUCUGGUACGAGAGGAAGUGAUAGACUUUUCCAAGCCAUUUAUGAGUUUGGGCAUCUCCAUUAUGAUAAAGAAGCCUCAAAAGUCCAAGCCUGGCGUUUUCUCCUUCUUGGAUCCACUGGCCUAUGAGAUCUGGAUGUGUAUAGUGUUUGCCUAUAUUGGGGUGAGCGUGGUUCUGUUCCUGGUCAGUCGGUUCAGUCCUUACGAGUGGAACCUUGAGGAACAGGACGAGACCAAAGACCCUCAGACGCCCCCUGAUCCUCCCAAUGAUUUUGGGAUUUUCAAUUCUCUCUGGUUCUCAUUGGGCGCCUUCAUGCAGCAAGGCUGUGACAUCUCCCCAAGGUCUCUCUCAGGCCGUAUAGUCGGUGGCGUGUGGUGGUUCUUCACCCUCAUCAUCAUCUCAUCUUACACAGCCAACCUAGCUGCCUUCUUGACAGUGGAAAGGAUGGUCUCUCCAAUAGAGAGUGCUGAAGAUCUGGCAAAGCAGACAGAGAUAGCAUAUGGCACUCUGGACUCUGGUUCCACAAAAGAGUUUUUUAGGCGAUCGAAAAUAGCCGUAUAUGAGAAGAUGUGGUCAUACAUGAAAUCAGCCGAACCCUCAGUGUUUGUUAAGACCACACCCGACGGCGUGGCCCGGGUACGAAAGUCAAAGGGCAAGUUCGCUUUUCUCCUCGAAUCCACCAUGAACGAGUACAUCGAGCAGCGGAAGCCCUGCGAUACCAUGAAAGUGGGCGGCAACCUCGACUCCAAAGGCUACGGAGUGGCGACGCCCAAAGGCUCAGCAUUAAGGUGGGUGGAAUAAUAUAACAAUAUCCUCUGUGUUGUUAUAGUAUUCCACCUACCCUGAUGUCCCCUGUUGUCAUUCUCUUCUCAUCCUCUCCUUGUUUUUUUAUGGACACAGAGGUAAUGGUAGUAUACUUUUCAAAGCGCUUGGAAACUAAGGUUUUAUGCUAAAAUUGUCUUUUAAAGGAUUUUUAUACAUGUGUUAGGGCUGUUACGCUAAUCAAAUCCGUACGAUACGGUUAAAGCGAAGAAUCAUUUCAUAUUAGGGCUCAGACUCGCCCUCUAAAUCCUGAUUUUUGAUUCGUCUUGACAGUAACGGAUGACUUCUGAAUCAGAAUUGAAUCGUUACUCCUUGUUAUGUAAUCGUCCAACUCAUGAAAAAAUUCAUUAGAUUAUUUGAAAACUAUGUAGAACUGGAAAGAGAGUACUCUGGCACGGUGUGGCUGCUACUUGUCCCUCUGGAAAGGUAUUUGUUUUAUUUUAAAAUGCUUUAUAUUAACCAGCAUCCCUCACUGUACCGUGGCCAAAGGUAGAACCCGGGUUGGUUUUGCGCCCGUCUCUGUGCCGUAAAAUGCGUAAAUCUAUGCUGGCUGGGACCAGCUCCCUCCUUUAUAGCCAGGUAGCUAGCUAGCCGGCUGGGUCUCACCAUCUGCCACGCUGUGUUGGAUCUUACACAACUUUCUCGCAUUCAUUCUGCCACGGUCGCCGUCUACCAUGAACAUCCGUGCAGCUCCUCGAGCAUGGCUAUCGGAUGCCUCCUUCCGCGGAAGUCUCGGUAGAGGGCUACAGCUAUUUGCAUCCAUAAUCCACGAUCAACUCCAAAAACGAACAACCUCUACUACUGCGGACAUAGUCAAAGUCUCAUCAGCCAUAAGCACAGGCAAACAAUGUUGAAAUAUUUUGUAUUUUUUGAAGCAAAUGUGGCGUGGCAGCAGUUCCAGCUCUGAUCAGAAUAAAGUAGUAUAAUAUUCUAAGAUUCGUUCUGAUUCGAGUCCAAAAAUUCUGGUUCAAUGAUUGCUUUUUUUUACGCCCACUCGAAUCACAAUUUAAGUCACCACCCAUUCUUGAACAGCCCUAUUUCAAAUGUCUCUUUAUGUCUUCCUGUUGCUCUUCUCUUCUCCCCCUCCAUCUCUCCUUCUGUCCUACCUGACUGUUGUGUUGUCACUUUUAAUUUAAUGGUUCAAUGGUUUUUCAAUUUAGUCUUUUAAAAGCUGUGCUGUCACUUGUGACAAAUGUUAAUUGCAUGAUGUUUGUUGUUGUUACUUCUCUUCUCAAUGACAAGUGUCCCCAUCCCGCACACUUCAGUUCUAAACUACGUAACCCCUCUUGCCACCUUUUCCAAGAUUUAACAGUCUUUACCUUAAGUGAGCCUCUCUUAUCUUUCCAUAUUCCUGAAAUUCUUAAACCACAAUUUGUCCUUUCCCAGAACAUUCUGAUUAACUGAUUCUGUGCGUAAGCCCCCUGCUACAGUGGAAGCCUCUCUACCCUGACCUAUCAUAAUGAUGCUUGAAAUGCUGUUAACCUGGCAGUUUUAAAACUGAAUGAGCAAGGCCUCUUGGACAAAUUGAAAAACAAAUGGUGGUACGACAAGG